AACGAACGUUAGCGGCGCGCUUAACACAUGCAAGUCGUGCGAGAAAGGGCUUCGGCCCCGGUACAGCGGCGCACGGGUGAGUAACACGUAGGUAAUCUACCCCCAGGUGGAGGAUAACCUUCCGAAAGGAGGGCUAAUACUGCAUGAGACCACGACCUCGCAAGGGGAUGGGGUCAAAGCCGGCCUCUCUACAGAAGCUGGCGCCAGGGGAUGAGCCUGCGGCCCAUCAGCUAGUUGGCAGGGUAAUGGCCUACCAAGGCGAAGACGGGUAGCUGGUCUGAGAGGAUGAUCAGCCACACUGGAACUGAGACACGGUCCAGACUCCUACGGGAGGCAGCAGUGGGGAAUCUUGCGCAAUGGGCGAAAGCCUGACGCAGCGACGCCGCGUGAGUGAUGAAGGCCUUCGGGUUGUAAAGCUCUGUGGAGGGGGACGAAUAAGUGGUGGCUAACAUCCACCAUGAUGACGGUACCCCUUUAGCAAGCACCGGCUAACUCUGUGC
RNAcentral lists this ribosomal RNA (500 nucleotides) under uncultured bacterium. RNAcentral's name for it is "bacterial SSU rRNA". It matches the Rfam family "Bacterial small subunit ribosomal RNA", at positions 29 to 508 of the family's 1533-position model. The record is from RNAcentral.